UCAAACUUGGUCAUUUAGAGGAAGUAAAAGUCGUAACAAGGUUUCCGUAGGUGAACCUGCGGAAGGAUCAUUAACAAAUCCCGUGUGUAUUCUGAUCCAUGUGUGAUGCAUGUGUUCAGGACACAUUUGUUCCAUGUGCAUGUCAUGUGCACAUUGAUACAUUUCUGUGAAUGUCUGAUUCGUUCUAUUUCAAUUUUCAAAUGACUUUUAACAAUGGAUCUCUAGGCUCUUGCAUCGAUGAAGAACGCAGC
This 251-nucleotide unclassified non-coding RNA is filed under the name uncultured fungus. RNAcentral describes it as "partial contains small subunit ribosomal RNA, internal transcribed spacer 1, and 5.8S ribosomal RNA". The stretch from base 1 to 73 matches the Rfam family "Eukaryotic small subunit ribosomal RNA", at positions 1759 to 1831 of the family's 1831-position model. The record is from RNAcentral. Lineage: Eukaryota; Fungi.